GGCUCCGUAGCUCAGCGGAUAGAGCGUUGGUUUCCUAAACCAUGCGUCGGAGGUUCGAGUCCUCUCGGGGCCA
Molecule: transfer RNA, 73 nt
Filed under: Heyndrickxia sporothermodurans
Lineage: Bacteria; Bacillati; Bacillota; Bacilli; Caryophanales; Bacillaceae
Description: Bacillus sporothermodurans tRNA
Rfam family: tRNA
About the family: Transfer RNA (tRNA) molecules are approximately 80 nucleotides in length.
Source: Rfam by way of RNAcentral